UUUUUUCAUAUUGAAAUUCACAACCACACUUUUAUUCACAGCACAACUUAUAGUAUAUUUACAAUACUAUUUACAGCAUAAAAGUCUCACACCUAUCUACACUAAGAUAGGGUUCACAAAGGGAUGGGAUCUCAAUCCACAUCUGGGUUGUACUCAAGAUCCCUCUCUGGAUCAUUUUCUACUUCAAAAUACUUUCUCCCCUUCAGGUUCUUCCUCCUCAGCUUUUCCUCAGGGUCCUAAAAUGGUUAUUCAAUAACCAAUGAGACCACGUAUCAGCGAGUCUUACCCCUAAGACCCGAUUAGUAAACUAAUACGCCAAACGGUUGCCUAAGCACAACACAAGUUAGAAGACUUACCUUGGCCUCAGUUCCAACCUGCAAUUCAAGGUUAAACACAGAUAUUCAAGUAAUUCAUGACAUCCGAUCAAGCACUGGCCAAUCGACUAAGUCGAUUACAUGUCAACCAGACCCUCUCUAGGUCAUUCCCACUCAUACCACGAUUUCCCAGUGGUGUACUCAUUCAUCAAAUCACAUGUGUUUCUCGGGCGUCGUUUUCGCCAAUGACAUACUGAUCACCGACACCGUGCAUUCUUUAAGGCGCCGUUUUCACCAGUGAUAUCCUCGAUCACCGAACCACGUGUCCUUUCUAGGGUGCUGUUUUCGCCAAGGUGACAUCGGCUAUAGACAACAUCGUGAGUUCUUUAAGGCGUCGUUUUCACCAGUGAUAUUUCCUUAAUCACCGAACCACGUUUGUCCAUAAGUCAUUUACGUGCGUUCUUUAAGGCGCCGUUUUUGCCAGUGAUACUUCCAAUCACCGAACCACGUAUAUCCAAUAAUAUCGUACCUGAUUGGUCUCAACCAAUAAUGUUCUCAGUUAGCUCUCACUAUUCUCUCUACUAUAUAGCCCAUCAACGUACUGGCGCUAUAUAUCCAUGCUCGGCCAUUACCAAUCAAAUACUCAAUAACAAACAAUUUGGGACAAUUCCUCAAAUUUCACAAUUUAAAUCAAUUCCAUAAAAAUUGAAGCUCAAUUAAAUAAACGGACUGCACCACGACAAUCGGCACGAAAUUCCGGUCACCGGCCAUCCCGGUUGAAUUUUCGGAAAAAUAAUUAAUUAAAUAAUUAAUUUCGAAAAAUAAAUAAAUAAAUAUUAAAAAUCUAAUUUAGGCUCGUAAUGCCUGAUUGGAGCCCGAAACCGGUCGGGAAAAAUCCUGAGAUACAUUCAAUAAAUAAUAGAGCAUUUCUACUCCCUAAUGGCUAUAGCUAACCACCUAACAUGCAUCCUCAAGUUACUAAUUUAAUUGUUCUAAUCUAAUCUAACCACCUAAUUGCAAUUAAUUAAAUCUAACCAACCCUAAGAAUAAUUAGCAAACUAAUAAAGCAUUAGUGAGUAAAACUCACUUGAUCAAAAGCGGGGAUCGAAUCACCGCAACGGCGACGCGACGGGGGCCGAAAUCGGACUUUCGACGACACCGGCGGACUUGAACCGGGCCUUAGGCUUGGCCCAACAAAUCUCAGCCCAAAACUAGGCUUGAAGACUACAAUUGCUGAAAAUGGGCUUCAAUUUGAUUUACUGGAAUUGGGCCCACUGUUGAGCUUUAAUUGGUGCGGUCUUGGAAUUGGGCUGCAGCUGGUGAAUUUCGACUGGGCUUGAAGACAACUGGGCUGCACGUUGAACUGGAGUGGCUGAAUUGGACUGGACUGGGCUACAACAAAAAGGCCCGAAUUGUUGAUGAAGAUGGGCCCACAACGCUGGACUCCGGUGGGCUUCGCACGGUCAGAUGAAGGCUGUUCAAUUUCACACUCGCAGCUUCGUGUAGUUGAUGGCGAAGACACGCGAACGCUGGUCAACGAAGGCUUCACCCGGUGGAAAUUCGACUGAGAUGGGGGCGUGCCGGCGUGGACGAUGGAGGAAAAACAGCGUCGAAGAAGCGGUGCCGUUGAUCUUCAAGCGUUGCCGCUCUUCAAGCUUCGCUGGCGGACGUGUGGAGUGGAGCUGAGGGACGCGCGGAGGAAAGCUGCAGUGUUCUAUCGCUGCUGAGUGGGUAAUCGGGCUGUGCGGACGUGGCCGAAGCUGCCGGAAAUCACGACUUCGCUGGCGUGUGGCUUCUUCGGUGGUGUUGCUCGGUCAACAAGUGCUUCGCUCGGUGGAGAAUUUGACCGAGAUGACGUGUGGAGAAGCACCUGGCUUCUCUGGACGUCGUGGCCGUGCUGACAAAAGGGCGUGGAAGAUGGAGCAGCUUCGGUUGCUGCCUCGGCGUCUUCAACUCGAUUGCCGACUGGUACAGCGAAGUGGAAGAUGGAUGGAGUUGAGGACUUCGGUGGGAUCUUGGCGUCGAAGCCAGUCAAUUCUUUUUGUUGAAAUGGACUGUUCGUGUGGCAGAGGGAUGAACGAAAAUGGAGAAACACUUUGGUGGAAUUCGUAGGCUUCCUCGGUGAGAGAGAGAGAGAGUUCACGAAUAUGGAUAGGAACGGAGGAGAAGGCAGAAGCGGUGAUGAUGGAGACAGCGACGGGAGGGACCCAAAAUCACAAACCUAAGCCAUUCCCUUAAUUGCUUGUCCCCCUCCUUUUUC
RNAcentral lists this long non-coding RNA (2574 nucleotides) under Eucalyptus grandis. RNAcentral describes it as "long non-coding RNA (EGRA_LNC001240)". The record is from RNAcentral. Lineage: Eukaryota; Viridiplantae; Streptophyta; Magnoliopsida; Myrtales; Myrtaceae.